UUUGGCGCCCACCAAGCAAAUUCCCUCUCACACUGUUAAUGGAAACCCUCUCAAAACCCUACAUUCACCCCUUCCCUCCAAACCCCCAUCAUUUCAUGACCCCGCCACUCGCCGCCAAAUUUCCUCCGCCGCUGCUCCGCAUCGCAUCCGCAACCUUCCGACGUGUCGCCGCCGCUCAAAUCCACCUCCCAGAAACUACACUUCCCGAACCCUCAACCUCAAAUUCGACACCCAAAGUUCCCCCCAGGGCUAGUAAAAUUAUAGAUGCCCAGCAACUUAAAUUAAACUGGCUCGACUCCCUCUCUUGCCCUUUUUUGGAUGAGAAUGAAAAUAAAUGCUUGGGAAGCUCUGAUUUUAGCAAUGUCGGAUCCGAACCAUCCGGUUGGGUCAUGGGUAUUGACCCGGAUAUUUCUGGAGCCAUGGCCCUGCUAAAACCUAAUGAUUCUCCUCAGGUGUUGGUUGUUAAUUUUAUGGGCUAUUAAUUGAUCAAAUAUGGUACUACUGGCGACGUUUUUGCUGUAUAGUGACUAAAAGAACUUGCAUUGAUUAAGAAUUUUGUUCAUGUAAUGCAAUAUUAGACCAUCUCGUGUUAGAUUUUCUAUUUUUUAAUUUUUUGCACGAAUUGGAGGACAUAAAUAUUGGCCCAUGUCAUUUAUAUGUUCACCAACAAGGAUGAGUACAGAGUUGUAUCUUGCAUGGCAAUUUUUUCUUGCUGACAAGGUUUUAUUUUGGCUAAGAAACUGCAAUGUACUGUGAGUGAGAUUUCAAUUAUAACUUUUGAUAAUCAUUUUGGUUGAAAAGACGGUCUAUUCUUAGAAGAAAUAAAGAUAUGAGUAGAUACAAAAUGUCCUCGCUUAGAAAAACUAUUGGGAAGGGACCAUAGAUUUCCAAAUGCAAGACUUGAGCAGGAAUGAAGAAAAGAAAGGAAAGGCUUGCAUGAGCACACCAGAUCAAUAAAGUUUCAAACCUUCUAGCAAAUUGAUCAUGUAUAUAAGAUCCUCUGCCUACUGUCUGCAAAGAGAGAGCGAGAGAGGAAAUUGGUGCAUCAUGAUUACAGGAAAGAGUACGAAUGAGGAUAAGCCAGUGAAACAAACACGUAUUUUCCGUACAAGGAUCCUCCAAAAAAUAAACAUUAGAACCAUUGUCUAUCCUGAGGCGUUACAGAGGAAGAUAUGGAGAUUUGAGAACUUAAUUGAGAAAUGAACUUCUUCGGGCUAGUAUAAGCAGCAUUAGAGGUGAUUCCAGCACUCUAUCCUCUUGGUUGUAGAGCUUGUCUACUUCUUAAAAGUUUUUAAGCUUGUUUGGCACUGGUUUUUCUUUUUUUCUUUUUUUUUGAUAGGUGUUUGGCACUGGUUUUUCAAGUGAAAAAUGAUUUUUUUUUUUUUGGAGAAUGUGUAAUUGACAGGUGGGGAGAAGUUGUGGGUCCACAGAAUGUGUGGUUGAAAAUGAUUUUGAAAAAGAAUGAUUUUAGAAAAUUAUGUGCCAAACUAGCCUCUAAUCUGGUCUGUCUAUUUUUAUUCACUUUGCCCACUGACGGUUUCGGUUAAGGGAAUUUAUCGUCAAAGAACAUGGCUCAUUGGAAUCUAACUCCCUUUGGCUCAUAAUUUCUCAUAUAACUAUGGCAUUUGGGUUUGUGCAACGUGCAUUGAGAGUUGGAAGUUUCUUGGUUCCUUCCAAGACUCAACCUUUGUUUUUGAAAGUUUUGGACAGUUGGGCCAUUAAAAAUACAAUAUUGGAGAGGUAGGAUUAAUAAUGUUGAAUGAAGAUUAUGAAUCAUGCUAUGUUCUUUGACAGUUGUGCAUUUUUAUCUUUCUGGUUGGAGAAGGGUUUUAUUAUCCAAGUUUAUAAUAUAGACGGAACAAUAUCAUACAGUGUAACAGACCAUGCCUUCCUCUGUAGUGUGCUGAACACAUCCUUUUAGCAUUUAUCUUUUCUUUCCUCCAAUGGCCAACUUAUAUGCUUAUUUUCAGUUUGAUCCAUCAGAUAUCAACAUGGUAUUUUUCAAAUUUUAAAUGAUAGAUUGCCAAGUCCUAACCUGUAAUGAACGUUAAUGCCAGAAUAUUAAUAAUCAUAUAUGAAAAAGUUGAGUAAAGUCAGGGUAAUAUAAAUGUGACCAAGCAAUCCGCUUCAUAUAAAAUUAAAAUUGUAUGCUCCCCAGGGCACACCCAAGUUGGCGGAACAAUCACAUUGGGGGGCUCUGAAACCAAGCGUGGGGAGUUCGAUUCCUGGUGGGAACCUUUGAUCCAAUAAAGGAGGAAUUAUUGGUGGAUUAAUCACUAUGGAGGAGGCUCCCUUUGGGGAAGGAGUAAAAGCCAUGUGGGAACCUGAGAACCAAUAAGGGCACAUCCUGCGAUUUACCUUCCUGAGCAGCUGAGGGGCCGGAGGUUCAAGGACAAGGAUAUAGUCUGGCGCAAGUUGGGACGCCUCGUUAAAAAAAAAAAAAAAAAUUGUAUUGUGGGAUUAAAAAUGCUUCGAAAUUUGUACUUUGUAAGUACAAUCUUGUACUCUGUGCUACAAUCAUCCAUUUAUUGUACUACAAUAGGUGAUUGUACCGUGUGAAAAAAAUUCUAAAUAAUUUUAUAUAAUUUAUUGUGCUGGUGGAUGAGUAGUAGGACUUAUCCUCAUUGGAAAUUCUUCAUUCGAUGCCCAAUUCAAUUGAAAUUAAUUUUAAAAUUAGGUGUACUCCCUAUUUCUUUUUUUCUUAAACAUAGCAAUUGAACAUUUCUAUCUUAAACUAUUUGAAUUGAAAAAGAAUCGAAUAAAAUUAGUAACUCCCACUUCAUUCUACUGGUAUAUAUAUUUUUAGUUUUGAGCUUUAGAUUUAAAAACUAGAUGAUUCUAUUCCACUUUUGAAUUGAAUCGAACUAAUCAAGUCAACUUGAUUCUAGUUACAAUUUUGCUAGUUUUCAGUUUCAAAAUCGAAAACCAAGUGAUUUUAUUCCACUUCUCAAUUCUAGCUACGUAACCAAAUAUAAUUGAUAAUUUCUUUUUAACAUUGCCAAUGAAAAUCGAUUCAGUCUGAUUCUUAAGGAACUCGUAAUAAAUUCGGUGCCUACCUCUACACGCAAAGCAAAAGAUUUAACUUGUUGCAAUGAGAUAGUUUCUCCAAUUUUAUUGUAGCAGCUAUUUAUUCAUCAAUUUAUUGUAAAACAAAAAAUAAAAUAGUGCUAUAAUUAUUGUGAAUGAAACUUUAAUUUAUUGAGUUUUAUUAGAAUUUUCAAAUAUGUAAAUUACAAUAGAGUAGAACGAGUUACUCAAAUACAUUGAAAUGUGUUACGAGAUUAAAAGAAUGAAGAACCUAGGAGGGUAUAUGCCAUCAACAAAUUUUUUUAUUAAUAGAUAGUAAGAGUAAUUUGACAUCCAAUAAUUUGGUCACAACAAUUUACAGUGGGAUCGUAACUUAAGCAUAAAAGGUAUGUGAAAAUGAUUUGAUUUAACUAGCAUAUGGUUCGAUUUACAAGAGAUUUGAACCAAAUCAAUUUCUAUCGAGAAAAGGUAAACACAGAACCACCGGUAUUAUGGAGAAAAAAAAAUGGAAGAAGAAGAAUUGAACUGAUAAGUUUCAAUUUGAUUCCAUUUACUAAGAAAAAUUUUUAAUGACGUGCUAUUUAGCCCCGUUUAAUAGUGAUUUUAAUCUAAGUUUUAAUUUAAGUCAAAAUCAACGAUUAAUUUUAAUCACAUAGGUCAUGAAAUCCACAAUUUUUCAAUCACAGGAUCCAUCAAUUUUUAUCAAAAUCUACUAAAAAGUUGAUUUUAAUCCUCACUGAAUAGGGGCUAAAUUUCAAUCUGGUUACAUGAGUCAACUUUUGGAGUAUGGUAAUUACAAAUGGAAUCUAGUCAAUGAGAGCAAUAACUCAAGUAGAAAUCAGCAAUUCAACCCCAAAUUAGUAGAUCGUGAACGUGAGGGCUAUUUUGAUGGGAUAAACAGGGGGAAAAAAUGAAAAUUUUGAUUUUCUGUUGAAUGAAGGAGAUUGAGUGAGACAUGACUCAAAUUAGUUUGUUAGAGGGUUUACAUUUUUGCAAUUUUAGUGUGCACCAAAUCACGAAUUUAUUAUUUUUUAAGAAAGAGCAAAACUGAAUAAAUUUUGGUUAAUCAGACCGGAACCAACUGGUUCCCCAAAAAAAGUUACACCGUAAACAAUAAAUAAUUCAAGUCCAAUGCGAGACGUAAAGGGUUAUAUCUUGUUCGAUAGCUAUUAAAAUCAAAUUUUUAGUAAAUUCUGAUAAAAAUUGAUGGACGUUGUAGUUAAGAUCCUAUGAUUGAUAUGAGUGGUUAAAAAUUAAUUGUUGACUUGAUUUAAAUUUUUAUAAGGUGUUUCAGCAAUACCUAAUUGGGGGCUACAUUUGGCGAGAGAUUUUUCUAAUUGACCUAUCACUAUUCCUUUUUGUUGAAAGGUCUAUAUUACCCUUAAUGAAAAUAUUCUUUCCAUAUUGCAACAUAUAUCUUAAUCUUUUAAACAUUUUAUCUUGUAUUUACCAUAUUUUGAAUAUUUGAAUAUAAUUUUAUUCUAUGAUCUUGUAAAUUGAAAUAAUCUAAAACAUAUUGUUCACAUUUAUUAUUUAAUAUAUUAUAUUCUUCAGAAGAUGCAUUCAUACUUUCUAAUUGAGAAUACAUACUUUUUAUUACUUCUAUCAUUCUUUCUAAUAAAGUAUCAAAUCCUUUAAUUGUAUAUCUUGGCAUUUAUUCAAAUGAUCAUCAAAUCAAGCAAUUAAUCCCUAUGAUUCUUUAAGAUCUUAAAAAGAUUCAUUCUAAUUUUAGCAAAAGUUUAAUAGUUUUACCUUAGGUUUGGUCUGGACUUGUAUUUUUAGAACUGAGUGAUCUUCGAGCUCUGAAUCUGUAAACUGCUUCCUUUAAUGGCCUCCUGCCUUCAUGGAAUUGUUAUUGUUUCAACUACUCGCUCUCACUGUAUCAACUUCUAAAUAAUAAAAUCCUAAACUUCUGUUAAAGAAAAACUUUUUUUUUGGCUAAAAUAAGAAUGAAACUUUUUAUCAGGUCUAUCAAGAAUCUAUGGGAAUAAAGAUUUAGAAACUUGUAUUCAUAUAAAAAAUAUUGGAGUUUUAUUUCUAUCAGAAUUUAUACAAGAUUUCUAUUUGGUAUAAAAGGAUUUUCAGAAAAACUGGUUUUUCAAACUGAGAAUGGAUUUUUAGUAGCAAUCGCUUACAACUCAGGAUUUCAAGAUAUGAUGAUCUCUAUCUAUGACAAUGCCUCUAUUUAUACAAGUCUAUGAGGCUUAAAACAUCAUUGAUUUACAUCAGCAAGGCACACUUGCCCCUCUAUUAUUUUCCUCCUUGGGCCUACAUGUUGCUUCAAUUUUUUAUCCAAAGAGCAUAUUUUCUAUUAUUGCUCUUAUCUUCAAUGUCUUCACAUGCAAUUGUAUUAUUCAUCUUUGACAAAGGUGUUCCAUAAUUGUCUUCAUUUCUUCACAUGCAGUUGGGGCACUCCUUUAGCUGGCAAUAUUCUUUUAUAGUGGUAGGACAUCCUGAAAAUUGAUGUAUAUCAAAUCUUGUAAUAUAGUCUUUUACAAUUUCUGAUUUUGCAUAUCCUCCAUUGGAUACCAACAUCCAAUUUUCAUAUUGGCACAGACACGAGAAUUUUUUAUCAAACAGAUUUUUGGCAAUGUCGUAGAUGACUUUAAUUUCAAGUGCUCUUCUAUGUCUGAUCCAUGAUUUUGUCACUNNNNNNNNNNNNNNNNNNNNNNNNNNNNNNNNNNNNNNNNNNNNNNNNNNNNNNNNNNNNNNNNNNNNNNNNNNNNNNNNNNNNNNNNNNNNNNNNNNNNNNNNNNNNNNNNNNNNNNNNNNNNNNNNNNNNNNNNNNNNNNNNNNNNNNNNNNNNNNNNNNNNNNNNNNNNNNNNNNNNNNNNNNNNNNNNNNNNNNNNNNNNNNNNNNNNNNNNNNNNNNNNNNNNNNNNNNNNNNNNNNNNNNNNNNNNNNNNNNNNNNNNNNNNNNNNNNNNNNNNNNNNNNNNNNNNNNNNNNNNNNNNNNNNNNNNNNNNNNNNNNNNNNNNNNNNNNNNNNNNNNNNNNNNNNNNNNNNNNNNNNNNNNNNNNNNNNNNNNNNNNNNNNNNNNNNNNNNNNNNNNNNNNNNNNNNNNNNNNNNNNNNNNNNNNNNNNNNNNNNNNNNNNNNNNNNNNNNNNNNNNNNNNNNNNNNNNNNNNNNNNNNNNNNNNNNNNNNNNNNNNNNNNNNNNNNNNNNNNNNNNNNGAAUUUUAUCUUCUUGGUCUAUGAUACUGAUCAAUUUGGUAUCUCUUUUAUCUCCAUGUAUCAUAAUUUUCUUGAUUGAUGAUACAGAAAUGAAAUCUCCUUUAUUAUCAGUGAGUAUGUUGUCACGUUUGGGUGCACUACUGCUUUCCCUGUUUGGUAUUGAUUUGAAAAACUCAUUUCUGAGCUCUUUGGUAUUUCUAUCUCAAACAGUAUAUCUUUUAGUUGUGCUGCAAUAGCAUCAACUUGAUUUUUGAGUUUUAUGACAUUUUUUUAUGCUCAAUAGUGAUAUUCAACAAUAUUUUUAUAUUUGAGUUGAACAUCUUUGAGAUCUGGGUUGCUCCAGAGUUUAUAUCUUCAGAUUCUUCUUUAAGAAAAUCUGUCAUUUUUUGUAUAUGUAGGAUAAAUUGGUAUAAUUCAAUGACUUUAUCUUUAUCUAUUAGCAAAUUCUAUGUUCUGCUGAGAAAAUUUGCAAGAAAAUUAUUAACUCCUUUAAUAUAGACUAUAUCAAAAUUAUAAAAUGCUAAAUAAACUUGUCAUCUAUAGAGCCUUCUGUAUUGAGGUUUUGAUGGCAAUUUACUCCUAACUAAUCCUGCAACUCGAGAAUUAUCAGUUUCAACAAUAAACUUUUUAGACAAUAAGAAUAAUGAGAACUUUUUUAUUCCUCUAAUAAUUGCUAGUAAUUCUUUUUUAUGAGUAGUAUAAUUUAUUUCUACUUGGUUAAAAGUUCUACUUGAAUAUCUACAAAUUUCAUUUAAAUCUGUUUUUAAUAUUACUGCCCAAUAUUUAUCUGAGGCAUCAGUAUUAACAAUCAAAUUAUUUUUUUCAUUCGGUAACCUUAAUUUUGGUAAAUUUUUGCAUUCUUCUUUUAAUGAUUUAAUUAUUUCUGUAUGUUUUUCAUUCCAUCAUUUAGUAUUUAUUUUUCUAAAUAAAAUUUGAAUUUUAUGUCUUUUCUUAGAAAUAUUUUCAAUAAAUCCUUCAGCAUAGUUUAAAUAUCCUAAAAAUUUUUGUAUUUGUUCUUUGGAUUCUAAUUUAUCUGGAAAACUUUCUAUCUUUUUGGAUAUAUGAGUCUGUAAUUUUAUCCCUCUUUUAUCUAUUGAUAAUCCAAGAAAAUAUAUCUUUUGUUUUUCUAUUAUAGAUUUCUUUUUAGAUAGGAUAAUUCCUUCUUUUUUAUAUUCGUUAAUAAAUUGGAUUAAAUGAUUUCUAUGCUCUUCUUUACUAUUAGAACAUAUUAAUAUAUUAUCUAUAUAAACUAUUAGAAAUUCAUUAAACUUUUUAAAUAUAUUAUUCAUUUUUCUUUGAUAUAUUUGUGGUGCAUUUUUUAGGCCAAAUGACAUGACUAACUAUUCAUAUUUUCCUUUAUAUGUGCUAAAUACAGUAUAUUGUAUAUUAUCUUCUUUCAUUUUUAUUUGCCAAAAUCCUGAUUUACAAUCAAAUUUAGAAUAAUAUUGUUUCCCUCUUACAAUAUUUAUUAACACUUCUUUAUUUGGUAGAAAGUAACCAUCAAAUUUAGUAUAUUUGUUUAAUUCUUUAUAAUUUAUAACCAUCCUAACUUUUCCUCUAACUUGUUCAGAAUGUUUCAUAACCAUAAAAGUUUGACUACUAUGGGAUCCAUUACUAUUUCUAAUAAGUUUUUGUUCUAACAAUUCUUUUAUCUGAUUUUUAAAUUCUUAUGUAUAUUCUAUAAUAUACAUCAUUGGUAUAACUCUUGUUAUAAUAUUUUCUGUUAGUGCUAUUCUGGCUUUUAGGUGAUGUGAUUUCUAAAAUAAUAAUAGAUUUUCUCUAUAUACUUUUUCUAGUUGUUCAAUGAUUUUUUCUAUAUUCAUUUCUAUUUCUGUUUUUUGAACCUUUUUAUAUAUUAUUCUUUUAUUUUUUAUUUCAUUAAUUAUAAUUGGUUUUUUCUCCCAUUUAUCAACACAUUGGGCUUGCUGAACUUUAUAAGAUUUAAAUUCUCUAAGAAUUUUUAAUAAAUAUCGACAAGGUGUUUGUAACAUUAUCAUAUAAUUAUUUUGUUUAUAAUAUUGAAAUUGUUGUAUGAAGUGAUUUCCUAAUAAUAUAUCACAUUCUAGUUUAUCAUAUUUAUAAAUUUUAUUUAUUGUUACUUGUUUACUUCCAAGAAUUAUAUUAACUUUAUCAGCACUAUUAAUUAUUUGAGUACUUUAUCCCGUAACUCCAGUUAUUUUUAUAUUACUAUUAUUAUUUCAUGAUUUUAUUAAAAAACUUUUAAAUAUUGUUAUAUCACUUCAUGUAUCUAUUAAAGUACAAGUUGUUAUAUUUGUUUCUAUUAUAAUAAUUUGUAUAUAUACAGAUAUGGAAAACUUAUCUGAUUAUUCAUCUAAUUCUUUUUAUAUAAUGUAGUUUGUCCAUUAUGAACAAUAUAUAAUCCUUCUCUUUUUAUACUAUAUCUUCUAAUCCAUUUAGAAAACUCAUUCCUAAAAGUAUAUGGAGAUUUAUUUCCAUACUCUUAUUUAUGUAACAUGGUACUAAAAGAUCUAUUUCUCCUAUUUUUAUUGGUACCUUAACUUCUAAAUCUGUUAUAUGUACUUGUCUAUCAAGAUUUAUAUAUUUAUAUGGCUCUGUUUUAUGAGUUAUUAUGCCUUUAUUUCUAAUCGAAACUAUAUGACAUUCACUAGCUCUUGUAUCUAUUAAUAUAUUUGGUCCAUUUAUAUUUUCUCUUCCAUUAUAAUAUUCUCCUUCUAUUUUCAUGUUUCCAGUAUUUCUAUACAAUUUUACCUCUUUUAUUUUGUUGAUUUAUUCUAACUGAUUUUUAUUAGGUAUUUUAAAACUUUUUGAUCUUUUAAUUAAUUUUCCAUCCUUAAAUAUGAUAUUAUUAGAAUAUUCUCCUUCAUUUAAUUUUGUUAUUUCAAGUUUAUUUUUUGUCAUACUGAAUUCAUAUUUUUCUGGAAUGAAACUUAUUUGUUUAUUUGGUUCUAUUAUUUUACUAAUUUAUUUACAUUAUUUAUGAACUUCAAUAUAUGGUUUAUUGGAAUAAAUAUUCCCAUAAUUAGAAUUAGUAAAUGUAUAUAAAGCUCUAUAUUCUAUAAUCAUAAUUUGAUCACCUGAUUGCAUGAUAUCAUCUCUACGAAGUUUAAAAUGUAGUCCUAAAAUUUCAUUAAAAUUUUUAUCUUUUAAUGAUACACAAUAUUUUGAAUAACAUGUAAACAUAAUUUUUUGAUAUGCUAAAUUUCCUUCUAUUGUUCCUACAUGACUAUUUUUUAAAUUUAUUAUUCUUCCAUCAUGUAAAGUUAUAGUUAAGGGUAAAUCUAUCCCUUCUCCAAAUAAUGAUUUAAACAUUAUUUGUAUUCCUGCUAAAUAAACAUAUUGGAUUUUUUCACUUUAUUUUUUUACUAAUCUUUGUUAAUAGUUCUUCAACUGUAUUUUUUGUUAAAAGAUUUAAUUUAUGUUGCCCAUAAGUUGUCUUUACAUCUAUGAUUUUUUCUAUUUCGUGAUAUUCAUUUAUUGCUAUUCUUUCUCUUUUUCAAAUUCUAUCAAAGACUUCCCAUUUUCCUAUUUUUAAGUCUAACGAUAAUUUUUGCAGUUUUCUAAACUUAUUAUUAUCAAAAGUGACUUUGAAUCCAUAUCCUUUUAUUCUUUCAUAUUCUUGUAUAUUUAUGUUACUAAUUUCUAUUUCUUCAAUUUUUUUAUUCAGAUCCUAAUUCAUCACUUGUUUCACUUAUAUAUACUUCUUGAUUACAACAUUCUUCAAUAUCCACUACAACAAAACUAUGAUUUCGCGAUAAGUUUUUUUGCGACAUACAAAAAGUUGUCGCAAUAAGUGACUUAACGCGACACAUUUUUAAAAUUUGUCACAAAGAUUGUGAUGAAAAAAAUAAGUAUCAAAAAUUAUAAGAUGACAUAACAAGUUGUCGUGAAAUGUGGGAAGUUGCGACAAAUAAUAAAUAAUGUCGCCAAAAAUAUGAGGGAAGUAAGGCGCCAAAAUAUUUUUGGUGGGAAAUUUAUGGCAACAAACAUUUUUUUCUUGCAACAAAAUGCUUGGGAUGCAAUAGGGUCUCCUUUUGGCGAUAAAAAAAAUAUUCGUUGCUAAAAAUUCUAUAGUUGGGGGAAAAAAGGCUACAAGAAAAUAAUUUUUUUGCAACAGACAAAAGAUAUUGCAGUUAAUUUUUUACAAUGCUCGCCCAUAUAUUGUAGACUCUAAUAUUGCCGUAGAGUUGAAGAAUACCGCAACGUGCUAUGCAUGCUGCAAAAAUCCUCAAAUGUACGUUGUUGUAAAAAAAUUUCGAUGUACUACAUCCGUUUAUUUUAUUUUAUUUUGUAACAUUAUUUACUUGAUGUCUUAACUUUUUUCUACUGUUAUUAUUAUUAUUAUCUUUUUUUGUAAUAAGUGUUUGUUUUUUCGUCUAGCUAAAUUUUAAUAUGUAAUAUAAAUUUUUAAAUUUUUUGAUUAUUUCUUAUGAAGAACAAAAUUUUUAUAAUAAAAGCUGUAUAAAAUUUCUAAAAAAAUUUAUUCCCAAAAAAUUUAAGAAAAAUGCAUUAGACUAUUAAACUUUCAAUCACAUAAUAACUUAUAAAAAAUAGAAAUACUAGACUGAACCAAUUCAUAAAGGAAAAUAAAUGUCUCAACAAUUAAAGCAAAUAAAUAAAUAAAUAAAUUAUAGUUCAUAUAUUAUUAGUAGACGUUGGCAUACUAAACAUUGUUGCUGGUUCGGCUUGUUGUGGAGACAUGUCUACUUGAUUCGAUACGAACUUAUGCAUUAGCUCCUCAAAUUGAGAAAGCCUGGCACGCAUAUCCAAUAAUUCUUGCUCCUGCUUUUGUAUUUGCUCUCGAAGGGCUAUUGAUUCAGUAUCAUGAAUUUUGCCUACCAAAAAUGAAAUGUGUAUAAUAUUUAUUUAAAUACGGGAAACAAAUAACUAUUCUACAAAAUUUUGUAAAAAUGAAUUUGUCUAUGACUUACCAAAACUCGAUCAUAUAAUUUAUUUUUCUCUUCAUUGGGUACAUCGAUCCACCUUUUGUGACAGGGUGGAGCAAAGAAUCGAACGACGUAGCCACAUUUACUAGCCAAACAUGCUUGUUGACUUCCAAUAGCUCUUCCCAAUAUUUUAGAAAUCUCCAAUGAUAUUGUUCCAACUGCACUAACGAUGUCAUAGCGCCCUUACCUCUUGUAGGACCACGUCCCUUCCUCUUCAAAGAAUGAGAAUCUAUGAAAGUAGUUACUCAAAGGAUGAGAAUAUAUAAACCAAAAAUGAGAUUCUAUCAAUUAAAUAUAUACAUUAGGAUGAUUUUAUAUCAUAAACAUAAAGAUUAAUUAUUACCGUUGGAAUUGAGGAUGUUCUCAUGUGUCAAUGUGGUUGCUUGUGAUGAAUUAAGUUGAGGCUGGGACUGAGAAAAUGGGACAGGAACUCGGAGAGGUCGAGAUAAUGGAGUAGGAACUUGAACAUUACUAGUCUUAGACAAUGAGGAAGAGAUAUUAGCUUGAAGAGUAGUUUGGGUUAAUGGACCCUUGCAUGAUGCCUUUGACGAGAAGACCUCCGAUGGUGGCUCAUAAGAUGUAGUAAAAACUCUAUUUUUCUUGCCAAUUCUUGUUUGAGAAGCCAUUAUCUACAAAGAAAAAACCAAAAAGAGAGAGAGAGAUCAUUUUUAACCAAAAAAAUGUGUCUCCAUUAUUGCUAAUUCUUGUUUGGAAAGCCAUUAUCUACCAAGAGACAAAAUUGAUAAUAAUAGCUUAUUUUAGUGGGCGGGGGGUGGGGGGGAAGAUACCAAACAGAUUGUUACUUUUUGGGUAUUUGGAGAAUAAAAUGUUCUCUCUACGAGGAUUGAAGUGACAUUAUUUCCCCCUCUAUUAAAAUUCAUCCGACCAAACAAGUAGAUCUGAAUUUGUUUGGCACAACUAUAAUGUCACUAUUAUAGUUGUGAGUAUCUAAAUUUAGAUACUUACAAAGUAUCUAAAUUUCGAAUUCGUGCAAGUUCAAUUGGAAUGGGGCCCUUAAUAUCAUUGGAGGAUAGAUUCCUAUACAACAUCAAGAAAUAUAGAAUUUAUACUUGGAGAACAUCAAUCUCCAGAUACACAACAAUGAAUACAUGCAAACGAAUUUUUUUUAAACACAGAUGUACGAGGAGCUCACAGAUACGUCAUGCUCUCCAACUUCUGAAAUACAAGGGGAAUAGUUCCAUUCAAUUUGUUACCAUGCACAUUACUGUCACCAAAUCAUUCAGCAAGUAAUCCAGCAAGGUGAAAAUUUCAUAAAAAAUGAAAAUAGAACACAAGACUACAUCAAAUGCUUACAGGCUAUUCAGAUUUGUACAAAAGCUAAGAUUAUCUGGUAUAGGCCCAUCUAAGAGGUUAUUGGUAACAUUUCGGUGACAAAGCAUUGCGACCAACUUAAAUUUUAUGAAUCUAUAAAGAUUGAUAUAGUAAAACAGUCAUAAUAAACAUAAUAUACAGGUCAAAGAAAGCCGUUGUCGAGAAGGUUCCGUAGAAAAAGAGGCAAACAUUAUUUACUUCCUCUUUCCAGUUGGAAAUGGUCGGGUCAAUCCGUAAUUGAACGGGUUGUAACCGGAUUUUUCGAAGAUUUCGGAUCUGAAACUCAUGGAAAAACAUUUUUCAUAUGUGACUAAUAAUGAUGAUAAAUUUUCUGUUUUUUUGAAAAACGUUUUUCAUAUUUAUUUUUCUAGUAAAUUAAAUUAUAUUGCAAACAAAACACCAAGCAUGUAAUAGAAAAAAAAAGGGAACACCAAAAGAUUUAUACAAUCUACACAACAAGCAAAAACUACGAAUUUCUGUAAAACAUUAGAUGAAAAAAAAGGGAUAUAAACAUACCUAGAUUGUGAAUAAGUAUAUCAGCAAUCUUUGACAAACGACCAAUGGAAAUUUGAAAUGAAUCAACAUGAAAUCAUGAAAUGCAAAUAUAUUAGAUUCAAAAACCAAAAAUAAAAAAAAAAUGAAAAUACACAAAAAGAAUCAUUAGAUUGGAGAUUGAAUGAAAAUACCUUGUCUACAGAGAACUAAAAAAUGAGAAUGUAGAGUUAAAAAAUGAGAAAGACAUCUUAUAAAAAGAUAAAGAUGUUGACGAAAAGUGGGGGAAAAAAAGAGAGGGAACUUGAAAAUUUCCCUCCAAAUACAAGAGCCAAAAUUGAAAACAAAAUCUCGUACACAAUUAAUUUAGCUACCCUUAGGAAAGAAAAGUAAAAUUUAUAUAAAAGGAUUCUUAUAGAGUCCAAAUAUAUUUGAAAAGAUAUUUAUAAAAUUGGAACAUAAUAUUUCUCUCCCCCAAAAAAGAAAAAGAAAUAUAUUAGAAGAUUAUAUCCUAAGAAAAUCAUCUACAACUCAUAGAACCGUUUUGAACAAAAAAAAGUAGGUGGACCUUUUGCUGGAAUUUAAAUUAUGGGAACCUUUUCAAGAUAAAAAAUUUUAACCAAAGAAUAAAUAUAUAAAAUAAUAGUUUUUAUGUUUAGAAAUCAAUGGCGUACAUAUGUUACCUUACUUGUAAUAAUGGUUAUAGAAAUUAAUUCAAAACCCAUGCAAUCCGUUUGGCAAAACUAUUUAUUUCAAUAAAUAUUAAUUAGUUUUUAUGUGUUUUCAUGGCGUAUAUAUGUUACCCAAAUUUCAAACUCAAGAUCUUUAUAUACUCUUGUAUGGCAAUUACUUAUUUCGUCUAAAAAUAUGAAUUGAAUAAUAUUUAAUUAAAUUUUGUUUUUUUCCCCUUUUUAUUAUGAGAAAAGGAUAUGUAUAAUGUGUUGCAAGAGUAUGUGUUCAAGCCCAUUGAUUUCGAAUCUUUGUCAUGUGCUGGCUUUGAUAGGCACAUCUUACGGUUCCAAUUAUUAUUAUUAUUAUUAUUUUUAGACAAACGAACCUAUAGUAAUUUAAGGCCUAUUAAAUAGGUCUAGUUAAUUUAAAAUUAAUGUAGAUCAUGCCCUCAAACAGUACACUCGAAGAAAUUGUACAUGAAAAUUUGGCUACUCUCGAUUCAUGAAAAUACAUACUCUAUUAAUUUAAAAAUGUAGAUCAUGCCCUCAAACGGUACACUCGAAGAAGUUGUACUUGAAAAUUACCCACCAAGAAAUUGUACCCUCAAACUCUGUUAGAUAUUUUUCAUCAUUUUGCAUGUAUUUAAUUUUUUGUGUUUGCGAAUGAUGCCAUCCGGACUAGUGUUUGCCGCUGCGCAACGGGGAUCGACCUUUAAAAUAGCCUGAAAAAUAGUCAGAUUAACGAUUAUGAAAUCCAAUAGGCAUGCAGGUCAUUUAGUCAUGUAUAAAUGCAUACAAGAGGACUAGUAUCUCGAAGAUAGACUCAAACAAUUCCAAACAAAGGCACAAAUACACUGCAUUUACCUUCCUCAACAUAAUCUUACAGAAUCCUUCAAGGGAAUCAUACAGAUGGCUACUAAUAUAGUAGCACCAAAACCAAGGUUUUCACAUCAUACAACUAUCUGUCUGAAUUGAAUUCUGUAACAAACCUUUUCGCCUUAUAUGUCAGUAAUCACUGUUGUUAAAUGUUUAAUUGCGUUAGAAAGAAACAUAAGAUCACUUCAACGCUAUUAAAAUAAAGAAAUAGAGGACAAACACACACACACACACACAAAGGCCAAAAAUAAGAAAACAAACAAGGAAAAUUACCUUCUGAUAGUGUCAGGAUCCCCAUUGGUACUAAUGGCAAAUACACAGUAGUGCAACCACAUGUCAACAGAGUAUGUAACUCCUUGAACAGCUCUUUCAUAAACCUCUGCAACUUUGUCGACCGAGCUAAGGCGUGCCUCAUGAUCAGCAUAUUUCUUCCAAUAACCAUAACAUAAUGGAAAUUCAGCUAAAAAUGCAUCAUAAACUUUUCGAAUCUUCAAAAUGUUUGCCUGCAAAUCGGAGAGAGUUAAGUCAUUUUCCAAACAGGAGUUAGAUUCCUAUUACUUCUAGCAUCUUACUCUUCUUUUUGUUCACUUAUCUACAAUAAUUGUUUUUGUCCUAAAGAUAUAUGGUAUGCUACUUCUUCUAGAAACCUGAAUACUUGCUAUUUUUCUGCUAAACUGCUAUUAUUAUUGCUGAGUUGUAUAUUUGCUAUUUUUCUAAAAAUUACUAACUACAUAUCCUUUAUGGUCUAGGCAAAUAAAGUGAUAUACAUGAUGGAUAGGAGUUGGAUGCGACUUCGUAAUAGAUUAAGUGAAGAAUAUUUAGAUGGUAUUAAUUCAUUUAUGGAGGUAGCAAAACAAUGUCUGGAUGAGAACAAUAAGGUUCGUUGUCCAUGUCGAAAUUGUCAAAAUGCAUUCUUUCGGUCACUAGAUGUGGUAGAAUCUCACUUAUACCACUUUGGAAUCUCUGUAAGUUAUGAGAGAUGGAUUUUUCAUGGAGAGGAACUUGAGAAUAAUAUAGAGGGUGUUGAAAGAAAUACAUUUGAAUUGGACGAAGAAGAAAAUGUUGAUGAGAUGAAUGAUAUGUUAGACGAUCUAUGCGCUCCCAUGUCAUCUAAAGCUAACCAAACUUGGGAGGAGGAAGAACAUGGUGGAAAUCAUAAUUUUUCGCCUCGAAGGCCUAAUAAAGAGAGUAACCAAUUUGUGGAGAUGAUAACUAAAGCCCAACGAACUUUGUUUCCUGGCUCAGAAAUGUCAUUAUUGAACUUUAUGGUGAAGUUAAUGCAUAUAAAAGUUUUGAAUCGGUGGAGUAACAAAUCUUUUAACAUGUUAUUGGAAUUACUAAAAAACGUUUUUCCAGAAGAUAUUGGAUUACCAACUUCAACAUAAGAUGCCAAGAAAAUGCUAAGUGAAUUGGGAUUGGGUUAUGAAACUAUUCAUACAUGCAAGCAUGAUUGUGUAUUAUUUGGAAAGAGCGUGAAUUUGCCAGUAGGUGCCCGGAAUGUGAUGAACCACGAUACAAACCUAAUUUUGGAAAGGGAAAGAAGGUGCCUCAAAAAGUAUUGAGAUAUUUUCCAUUGAAAAAAAGAUUACAGAGAUUAUUCAUAUCUAGACAUACCGCUAAAGAUAUGAGAUGGCAUGCAGAAGGCCGAGUUGAAGUAGAAGGUGUUUUAAGACAUCCCGCUGAUGGUGAGGCAUGGAAAGAAUUUGACAAGUUAUACCCAGAAUUUAUGCAAGAUCCUCGCAAUGUUAGGUUAGGUCUUGCAACAGAUGGCUUCAAUCCAUUUGGAAACAUGCAUAAUUCCUACAGCAUGUGGCCUGUUGUUCUAGUACAAUACAAUAUGCCGCCGUGGAAGUGCAUGAAAGAACCGUUUAUUAUGAUGUCAUUGCUAAUUCCAGGACCACAUGCACCAGGAAGAGAUAUUGAUGUUUAUUUGAGACCACUAGUAGAUGAGUUGAAAGAAUUAUUUGAGACCACUGGUCGAGAUGAUUGUCGUACAACACAAAAUAGUGGAGUAAUGGUGCCGGGAGAUGAUAACAUCAACUUUUUUAGUAUAUUGUGUGAUGUUAUUGAGUUGGUAUACGUUUUUGACUAACGCGUCACUUUGUUCCAGUGUAGUUGGCACGAUAAUAAUCCAAAGCAAAAAAGAACAAUCAUAGAUUACCAUCUUACUUCUAUCAAUGUGAAUCGUAAAUGGUACAUGGAUGAUUCCUAUAUACUUGGCAUCCAAGCACAACAAGUAUUUUAUAUGGAUGAUCUUUUGUUGGGCCCACAGUGGAAGGUAGUGGAAAAGGUACAACAUAGAGGCAUAUGGGACAUUCCAGAAAAAAAUGAUGGCAGUAGUGAGCAAGUAAUAUUUUAGGAAAAUGAAUCAUCAAAUAUUGUCUUGCCAAUACAGCAGGAAGAUCUUGGCACUCAAGUAUGCCAUAGAGGAGAUGUUGAUCUAGAUAUUAUUGAAAAUGAAGCAUUACAAAUAGAUGUGGAACACAAUAAAUAAAAAUAUGAAUAAUGUUAUAUAUGAUACUUCGGAAGAGGAAGAUGAUACAUUGAAUGAAUAUUACAGUGAAGAUGAGAAAUCUAUAGAUGGUAAAGAUGAUGAUGGUGAUAGUGAUAUUGGUAAGUAAAACAUUCUUUAUAUAUAUAUAUAUAUAUAUAUAUAUAUAUAUAGGCCUUUUUUUUUGGCGUAAUGUUUUUCUUUUCUUUUUCUUAAUGACUAUCUACAUUUUUUCCUUCCCUCUGUAGAUUCGAGUACUGACGAUGCAUCAUCUGAGAGUUGAAAAUAAUUUUAUUCACAUUUAAGGUUAGAGUAGUCAGCUACUGAAAUAUAUUGAUCACUUAUUGUGAUGGUUGUUGAUCUUGUUCUAAUAUUCAAUGUAAGAUAUUUGAAAUAUUUUCUUGAAGCUAAUAUUUCAUUAAUUACUUUCUAUAUGUACCUGUUAGACUAAAUUUGCAGAGCUUUUCUUUACAGGAAUUUUCAUUUAACCAAAGAGAGUUGGAAGCGUAUAUUGAGUCAAGAAUGUUAUUUGGGUGUCACGUGAGUUUUUUAGUUAUUUCUUCCACAUUCCUAGUUCUAUUUUUUAAUUUUCAAGUUUGUCGAAUCAUUCAAAGUAGCUCGACCUUCAAAUUACUAGUACUAUAGUUUAUUUGUAUUUGUUUUGAUUUUGGAGGUAACCAAGUUUGUAGAUAAUACCUUUAUCUAUAUUUAUUUGGUUGAUAGUGAUAUGAUUUUUUUUUAUAUCAAUUAUAUUUUAAUAAUUGUAUGUUGAAGCGUGCUCUUCAUAAAGUCACUAGUUAUUUCUAGUUAUGUUACAUUUUCAUAUAAAUGUGCACAACAAUAAUGAUUCCAUUGUGAUGAAAGAAAUCGAAAAUUGUGUGUUUAAAAUAGAAUGUCCGACAUACAUAAAUAAAAAUAGAAUCAAUUAGGCGACAUUUGUACAUCGUUGAAGCGACAAACCCUUUGUGUUGCUGACUAAAUUUAACUACGAGCACAACUUGACAUAUAAAUAAAAGUUCAUUAUCACAAGAUACUUUGCGUAAUAAUAUUAUAUGUUGUUAAAUAAAAUAUGUGACAUAUAUAAAUAAUUACGAAAUAAGUUUGGCAACAAUUAUACUCAUUGUACAAAUGAUGGUGCAACAGACCAUUCGUGUUGCAAAAUAUAUUUAAAUACAUAAAUCACUUGUUACAUAAAAUUUUGUACUACAAAUAUUGAAUAUAUUAAAAUACAUUUUGCGACACAUCAAAUACAUUGUAAAACAUAUUUCACGACAAAUAUUACUUGUUAUUGAAAAUAUAUUACUGCGUGCAUGUGGUGUUGCAAAACAAAAUAGGUAGCAAAAGUGACACAUUUAAAAGAAUAUUUGCAACAAAUAUUUUUCUCGUAAAAACAUUAUUGGAAUAAUCGUCGCAAUGAACUAUCAUGUUGCCCUUUUAUUUUUUCGCGACAUAUACACAUUGCGAUAAUAUUAUAAUUAUAACUAUCGUGUUGCUGUUUCAUAUUUUCUGCGGCAAAUAAGUAAUGUUGCGAUUUUGUUAAUGCGAUGAAUGAUCAAAAGUUGUCUCAAAAUAUAUUCGGUGACUAAACAUUCGCAACAAACAUAAUUCUCGUAAAAACUUUAUUGGAAUAUUUGUUGCGACAAACUAACUUGUCACCCUUGAAAUUUCUUGCGACAUAUAUACAUUGUGACGACAAUAUGGCUACAAAUAUUGUGUCGCCAUUUCGUAUUUUCUGCGUUACACAAAUAGUGUAGUGAUUUUGUUAAUGCGAUGAACUAUCGAAAGGUGUCGCAGAACACAUUGCGUGACUCAUAUAGAGCGACAAAACCUACAACAAACGUAUUAUCGUCGCUAAAUUACUUUUGCGACAAAAUCUCAUUUUUUGCGAGAAUAAUAUCAUUGAAUCUGCCCAAGUUAAUAAGGCUUUUUUAGUAUCUAUUUUGCAAUUUAAAUAUAAUUUCGUUCCUUCAUGAUUAAUUGGUUUAUCAUAAUUAUUAUUUAAUUCAAACCUAUCUUUAUAUUUAUUUCCUUUAGGUGGUUGUCUAUCUCUUACUUUAUCAUAGAAUUGUCUAUAUGAUUUAUUAUAUAUAGGUGCAUAACUUUCAUCCGUAUCAUGUAAUUCCCGUUUAGAAGUUCCUGUUGGAUUAGGUUCUCCUUCAAUAUUCAUUAAAACUUGGUAUUCACUUAUAUCAAUUAGGCUUAAUUGAUCAAAAUUUUCUAUUAGCAAAUCUAAUUCUUCACUCAUCUUCUUUUUCUUAUACUUUUAAUUUUUCUAAUGAUUUUUCUUUAGAUUUUUCUUCUUCUUCUAAUAUUUUUGGUAAUAUAUUAUUUCUAAAUUCAUCAUCCGCACUUUCUAUUUCUAUUACUAUAUUUUCUUUUUCUAUAUGUUUAUUUCUUAUUCGAGUCAUCUCUUUUUCUAUAAAUUUUUUAAUCUAUUUUCUUAUUUUUGUUUUUAUUAUUUUCUUUCAAUUCUCUAAUUUCAAUUUUUAAUAUAUUUAUAUCGUUUCUUGUUUCUUUUACUUCAUUUCUCAAAUCUCGUACAUCAUUUAUUAACAUUUUUAAUAAUGACUUUAAUUAUUCCAUAUAUUCACUUAUUGACAUCUUAAUUUUUUCUUAUUUCUAGAUCAUAAGUUAAUUUGCAUCUUUUAUCUUUUUUUUUUAUCUAUUAUUUUUCUAAAUUUUCUCUCAGCUGUUUCUGGAUCUACUAAUUCUUCUUUUACUAUAAUAAAAUAUCUGCUCUCAAGUCUUAAUAUUUCGCAUUUUAAUUUUAAUAAUUGUCUAUUAUUUGAUAUUCUUAUUUCUUCUGGUAUUAAUAUUAUAUUUCGUAUUUCUUCUUGUAUUUUAUCCAUUUUUAUAAGUAGUUUAUUUAAUUUUAAAUGUGUAUUAUUACUUGUACUCAUACUUUUCUUUAUAAAUUAAAUUAUUUUCUUCAUCUUCAUAUAUAUGAAUAUUUUUUUCAUAUGUAUAUAUAUCUUUUAUUUUUUAUAUUAUUAAUUUUUCUAAUAUUUGUUCCUUCAUUUCUUUAGGAAGUUUUUUAAUUAUUGUUAAAGUCAUUAUUUUUAAUCUAUUAUGAAUAUGUUUUAAAAAUAUAUAACUAACUCUUUCUUCUUCUAAAAAUCAAUAAUUAUCUAUUUUUCUUAUUUUUAUUUACAUAAUCUCUAUGACUCUGAUACCAAAUAAAAGGGGGCUACUUAGAGCGAACAAAAAUCAAAUAAAUCAAAUUUAGUAAUCAAUCAAAAUUCAAGCAGUAUUUAAUUUUUUUAAGGAUUAAAUUGAAAGGUUGCUAAUUUUCAUUAACUUAUCAUGUAAUAUUAUAAAAGAGGAUAUUUUGGAUAUCAAAAUUAGCUGGAGGCUAUUUUGGGAAAAUGACCUUCCUGGGCCAUUUAUUUCCCACAUUUGGCGCCCAACAAGCAAAUUCCCUCUCACACUGUGUUAAUGGAAACCCUCUCAAAACCCCACAUUCCCCCCUUCUCUCCAAACCCCCAUCAUUUCAUGACCCCGCCACUCGCCGCCAAAUUUCCUCUGCCGCUGCUCCGCAUCGCAUCCGCAACCUUCCGACGUUUCGCCGCCGCUCAAAUCCACCUCCCAGAAACUACACUUCCCGAACCCUCAACCUCAAAUUCGACACCCAAAGUACCUACCAGGGCUAGUAAAAUUAUAGAUGCCCAGCAACUUAAAUUAAACUGGCUUGACUCCCU
This 20686-nucleotide long non-coding RNA is filed under the name Olea europaea (common olive). RNAcentral describes it as "long non-coding RNA (OEUR_LNC004775)". The record is from RNAcentral. Lineage: Eukaryota; Viridiplantae; Streptophyta; Magnoliopsida; Lamiales; Oleaceae.